AGUGAACGCUGGCGGUAGGCCUAACACAUGCAAGUCGAACGGCAGCACAGUAAGAGCUUGCUCUUACGGGUGGCGAGUGGCGGACGGGUGAGGAAUACAUCGGAAUCUACUUUUUCGUGGGGGAUAACGUAGGGAAACUUACGCUAAUACCGCAUACGACCUACGGGUGAAAGCAGGGGAUCUUCUGACCUUGCGCGAUUGAAUGAGCCGAUGUCGGAUUAGCUAGUUGGCGGGGUAAAGGCCCACCAAGGCGACGAUCCGUAGCUGGUCUGAGAGGAUGAUCAGCCGCACUGGAACUAUGACACGGUCCAGACUCCUACGGGAGGCAGCAGUGGGGAAUAUUAGGCAAUGGGCGCAAGCCUGAACCAGCCAUACCGCGUGGGUGAAGAAGACUUUCGUGUUGUAAAGCCCUUUUGUUGGGAAAGAAAAGCAGCAGGUUAAUACCCCGCUGUUCUGACGGUACCCAAGGAAUAAGCACCGGCUAACUUCGUG
This 492-nucleotide ribosomal RNA is filed under the name uncultured bacterium. RNAcentral's name for it is "partial 16S ribosomal RNA". It matches the Rfam family "Bacterial small subunit ribosomal RNA", at positions 29 to 507 of the family's 1533-position model. The record is from RNAcentral.